This 433-nucleotide ribosomal RNA is filed under the name uncultured bacterium. Its description in RNAcentral is "partial 16S ribosomal RNA". It matches the Rfam family "Bacterial small subunit ribosomal RNA", at positions 29 to 507 of the family's 1533-position model. The record is from RNAcentral.
AGCGAACGCUGGCGGCAGGCUUAACACAUGCAAGUCGAGCGGGCACUUCGGUGUCAGCGGCAGACGGGUGAGCAACACGUGGGAACGUACCCUUCGGUUCGGAAUAACGCUGGGAAACUAGCGCUAAUACCGGAUACGCCCUUUUGGGGAAAGGUUUACUGCCGAAGGAUCGGCCCGCGUCUGAUUAGCUAGUUGGUGGGGUAAUGGCCUACCAAGGCGACGAUCAGUAGCUGGUCUGAGAGGAUGAUCAGCCACACUGGGACUGAGACACGGCCCAGACUCCUACGGGAGGCAGCGGUGGGGAAUAUUGGACAAUGGGCGCGAGUCUGAUCCAGCCAUGCCGCGUGAGUGAUGAAGGCCUUAGGGUUGUAAAGCUCUUUUGUCCGGGACGAUAAUGACGGUACCGGAAGAAUAAGCCCCGGCUAACUUCGUU